CCUGGCGGCGAGCGGCGAACGGGUGAGUAAUGCAUCGGAACGUGUCCCGUAAUGGGGGAUAACGCCGCGAAAGCGGCGCUAAUACCGCAUAUGCUCUGUGGAGGAAAGUGGGGGACCUCGCAAGGGGCCUCACGUUAGGGGAGCGGCCGAUGUCCGAUUAGCUUGUUGGUGGGGUAACGGCCUACCAAGGCUGCGAUCGGUAGCUGGUCUGAGAGGAUGAUCAGCCACACUGGGACUGAGACACGGCCCAGACUCCUACGGGAGGCAGCAGUGGGGAAUUUUGGACAAUGGGGGCAACCCUGAUCCAGCCAUGCCGCGUGCGGGAAGAAGGCCUUCGGGUUGUAAACCGCUUUUAGCCGGGAAGAAAGGGCGCAGGCGAAUACCCUGCGUCGUUGACGGUACCGGCGGAAUAAGCAC
Molecule: ribosomal RNA, 417 nt
Filed under: uncultured soil bacterium
Lineage: Bacteria
Description: bacterial SSU rRNA
Rfam family: Bacterial small subunit ribosomal RNA
Source: RNAcentral